Oreochromis niloticus (Nile tilapia) is the source of this 1479-nucleotide long non-coding RNA. RefSeq lists it as uncharacterized. The transcript is spliced from 5 exons. The record is from RefSeq and is a predicted model, not a curated record. Lineage: Eukaryota; Metazoa; Chordata; Actinopteri; Cichliformes; Cichlidae.
CAGAACUACACUUUGGUAGGACGCCUAAACGUGUCUCUGUAAAUUAGCAGGAACUGAGAAACAUUUGAAGUGUCCAAGGAGCCUGCUGCCAGUUUGCAUGCCAAACACUGUAACAGAGUUACUUCUGCAUUGGAAAAAAAACAAAAAAAACAAAACUAUAGUUCUUUAAGGAAACAGGGCCGAGCAUCCAGCAGGAAGGGAUUCCUUCAAGCUCAGACAUCAACAACAUCCCGAAUAUUAAAGCCAUAGAGUAAAGUCAGAGGAAUGGGCGCGAGGAUGGAAAUUAUGCCAGACUUACCCUCUGCCAAGGUACAAUAAGCCAGGUUGACAGAGACUCUCCCCGAAAAACAGUGGAUAAGUAAAGACGGGGCCCAGCCAGGCCCAAACAUCCUGACGGAGAGAGGCUUUUCCCUUAUCAGUCAGGAAACACCGCUCCUCCGCCACAUCCUCUUUACAAGAAGCACGACUCAACCAUUCCCAAAAAAUGCAGGAAGACCAGCCAGACUCCAGGAUUUGUCAAAAGCCCCCUGAAUUCCUUUUAUCGAAAAAAGAAAAAUUCAAGAGAACAGAGAGGUUGAGAAGGGGAGGAGUGGAGAGUGGGGGGGGGGUAAAACAGUCAGUUUUUUUACUUAUUUUUCCACAGAUUACGAAAGGUCUGCAUCAGCAAGAUAUAACGUGGGGUGAGGGGGUGGGUGUGGAAGGGGGGGUCCAGCGUGCCGAAGAAUGGCACCCAGAAUAAGACUAUAGGAAAACAAAGGACGGUUGAGAUGGAGGCGGGCGCCGACAAAUGUGCCUGUUUUACACUAAUCCUCUGAACCGGGAUGAAAUGAAAGCGAGAGGAGACGGAUAGAGAAAGAUGAUGUAGGGUGGAAAAAGCCAGCAGGGGAGUGGGUGUGUAGAAUGGGCCUCUCACAGCUAGACAGAGCCUGAAAUAGAAGAAUACACGGUGUGACACUCAAUUCAAAGAUGGAUGUGAUCUUGCUCCCCCCCGCCUCCCCGAUUUGUUCAUGGAGACCAGCAGGACUCCUGCUAUCCUCAGUUUUUUUUUUAUUUAGAAAUCUAAAUGUAUUUAUUAGGACUUAAGUAGCACUGCCUGAACUUACCUUCCGCAGGUGAGGUAUGAAUCUCCUGUUUUUAAGAGAUGUUCAAAAUUGUGCCUUUUAAAAAUCUGCGGGCUCAUUAUCCAAGCAGCAAAUGCCUUAAUAUAAAAAUUGACCUUUAUUUUUAAAUUAUUGUCUUUCACAAACCUAAAUCAGCAUACAGUUACAGUUAGCAUUAUUAUUUUUCAUUGUAGAGGUCGAUUAUAUAUUAUUAAGUACUUGAGAAGAAGUAUAAACGCCUUUCUGUCAUCAUCAUAUACAUCACUUUGUUAAAUUGCAUAAGAAAUGUCCAAACUAAAACCUCAUUCAAUUACAACUACUGAGGUAAGACUCCCAAACUAAUGAGAGCAGGAACAUGAUACAAACAUUCGAAUGGAAA